Molecule: ribosomal RNA, 236 nt
Filed under: Cryptococcus sp. (in: basidiomycete fungi)
Lineage: Eukaryota; Fungi; Basidiomycota; Tremellomycetes; Tremellales; Cryptococcaceae
Description: Cryptococcus sp. (in: Fungi) partial large subunit ribosomal RNA
Source: RNAcentral
AAACGAUUGAAGUCAGUCGUGUCCGAGGGGCUCAGCCGGUUCUGCCGGUGUAUUCCCCUCGGAUGGGUCAACAUCAGUUUUGAACGGCGGAUAAUGGCUUUGGGAAGGUAGCACCUCCGGGUGUGUUAUAGCCCUUUGUCGCAUACGUCGGUCGAGACUGAGGAACGCAGCUCGCCUUCAUGGCCGGGGUUCGCCCACGUCCGAGCUUAGGAUGUUGACAUAAUGGCUUUAAACGA